CGUGCUUAACACAUGCAAGUCGCACGAGAACGCUUCAGCUUGCUGAAGUUAGUAAAGUGGCGCACGGGUGAGUAACGCGUGGGUAAUCUACCCCCGAAUUGGGGAUAACAUCGCGAAAGCGAUGCUAAUACCGGAUAAUAUCUUAAAAACCUCGGUUUUAAAGAUCAAAGGUGGCCUCUACAUGUAAGCUUCUGUUUGGGGAUGAGCCCGCGUACCAUUAGCUUGUUGGUAGGGUAAUGGCCUACCAAGGCUGCGAUGGUUAGCUGGUCUGAGAGGAUGAUCAGCCACACUGGAACUGACACACGGUCCAGACUCCUACGGGAGGCAGCAGUGAGGAAUUUUGCGCAAUGGGGGAAACCCUGACGCAGCAACGCCGCGUGAGUGAUGAAGGCUUUCGGGUCGUAAAGCUCUGUCAAGUGGGAAGAACCCACAUGGUGAUAAUACCACUAUGUGUUGACGGUACCACUGAAGGAAGCACCGGCUAACUCCGUG
This 492-nucleotide ribosomal RNA is filed under the name uncultured bacterium. Its description in RNAcentral is "bacterial SSU rRNA". It matches the Rfam family "Bacterial small subunit ribosomal RNA", at positions 43 to 507 of the family's 1533-position model. The record is from RNAcentral.